RNAcentral lists this small RNA (127 nucleotides) under Salmonella enterica subsp. enterica. Its description in RNAcentral is "RtT sRNA". It matches the Rfam family "RtT RNA". Rfam says of the family: This family represents a bacterial cis-regulatory element known as RtT RNA. The exact function of RtT is unknown although it is thought that it may be involved in changing the cellular response in relation to amino acid starvation. Lineage: Bacteria; Pseudomonadati; Pseudomonadota; Gammaproteobacteria; Enterobacterales; Enterobacteriaceae. The record is from RNAcentral.
UAAUUACCCAUGUGGGGAAGGAUGAAGCUUCGAUAAGGUUCGAUUCGAGCGCAGCGGCGUUAACCACCAGGCAACGACCCGAAAGGAGCGAAGCGCGCGGCGCUGAGUAAUCCCUUCCCCACCACCA